This 591-nucleotide ribosomal RNA is filed under the name uncultured bacterium. Its description in RNAcentral is "partial 16S ribosomal RNA". It matches the Rfam family "Bacterial small subunit ribosomal RNA", at positions 355 to 1376 of the family's 1533-position model. The record is from RNAcentral.
UGGGGAAUCUUCCGCAAUGGACGAAAGUCUGACGGAGCAACGCCGCGUGAGUGAAGAAGGUUUUCGGAUCGUAAAACUCUGUCUUUUGGGGCGAACGUGAGUAUGGUGAACAAUCAUAGUCAGUGACGGUACCAAAGGAGGAAGCCACGGCUAACUACGUGCCAGCAGCCGCGGUAAUACGUAGGUGGCAAGCGUUGUCCGGAAUUAUUGGGCGUAAAGAGCGCGUAGGCGGGAUAGUCAGUCUGUUGUAAAAGUGCGGGGCUCAACCCCGUGAUCGCAAUGGAAACAGCUAUUCUUGAGUGCAGGAGAGGAAAGUGGAAUUCCCAGUGUAGCGGUGAAAUGCGUAGAUAUUGGGAGGAACACCAGUGGCGAAGGCGACUUUCUGGACUGUGUCUGACGCUGAGGCGCGAAAGCCAGGGGAGGCGAACGGGAUUUAGAUACCCCGGUAGUCCUGGCCGUAAACGAUGGGUACUAGGUGUGGGAGGUAUCGACCCCUUCCGUGCCGGAGUUAACGCAAUAAGUACCCCGCCUGGGGAGUACGGUCGCAAGACUGAAACUCAAAUGAAUUGACGGGGUCAUAGCUGUUUCCUG